UACGAAGGGGGCUAGCGUUGUUCGGAGUUACUGGGCGUAAAGGGCGCGUAGGCGGCCCUCCAAGUCGGGUGUGAAAGCCCACGGCUCAACCGUGGAAUUGCACUCGAGACUGAAGGGCUCGAGGACGGGAGAGGAUGGUGGAAUUCCCAGUGUAGAGGUGAAAUUCGUAGAUAUUGGGAAGAACACCGGUGGCGAAGGCGGCCAUCUGGACCGUAUCUGACGCUGAGGCGCGAAAGCCAGGGGAGCAAACGGG
Molecule: ribosomal RNA, 253 nt
Filed under: uncultured bacterium
Lineage: Bacteria
Description: partial 16S ribosomal RNA
Rfam family: Bacterial small subunit ribosomal RNA
Source: RNAcentral